Molecule: ribosomal RNA, 1440 nt
Filed under: Triticum aestivum (bread wheat)
Lineage: Eukaryota; Viridiplantae; Streptophyta; Magnoliopsida; Poales; Poaceae
Description: partial small subunit ribosomal RNA
Source: RNAcentral
AUGGUUAACUUCAAGGCUUGCAGCAAACUGUACAUGUACCCGAAGACUGGAAGUACUACUACAAUGAAGAGGCAUCUGGAUGGCUGCUUUGCACAUCAUGGUGAGAAGAACAUCAAAAAAGGUCAAGGCACUCUGAAUUUUGAUGCGGCUGAUGCAUGUGGUAUUGAUCUUCCAGUAGUCAAUUUCUAUGGUGGCUUUGAUCAUGGAAAAAUUCGUGAGCAUAUUGCUACAAUGAUAAUUGUCCAUGAGUACCCUUUCCGCAUGGUCGAGCAUUUCUGGUUCAAUGUGCUCAUGAAGACUUUGAAUCCUUCUUAUCAGAAGACAUCAAGAACCACCAUCAAAAAUGAGUGUUUGCAGAUUUUUAAGUCCCGAAAGGAAACACUAAAGAAGGAACUUAAGCAUGUUGGCAAAAUUAGCCUCACAUGUGAUCUCUGGACCUCUAACCAAACUCUCUGUUAUAUGAGCUUGGUGGCACACUAUAUUGAUUCAGAAUGGAAUAUGCAGUACCGUGUGAUUAGUUUUCUUGAACUGGAGCCACCACACACAGGUAUUGUGAUAUCUCAGGCUAUAUUUGAGUGCCUUUCUGAUUGGAAGAUUGAAGACAAAAUUGCAACUAUAACUCUUGAUAAUGCUUCUUCCAAUGACGUGGCUGCUCGUCAACUGAUGUCGAAGUUUAAGGCCAGAGGAAGUGCGUUUUUCCAUGGCAAAUUUUUUCAUGUCAGAUGCUUUGCUCAUAUACUCAACCUUUUAGUAUCAGAUGGCCUAAAGGUUAUAGAACCACUCAUUGAGAGCAUCUGGCAAACUGUUAAGUAUUUGAAGAAGUCGCCAUCUCGGCUCUACAAAUUUACUGAGAUUGUCAAGUCACUUAACAUGUCAACCAAGAUGGGGUUGUGUCUUGAUGUUCCAACUAGAUGGGGAUCCACAUACAAGAUGCUUGAGCGUGCCUUUUCUUUCAAAAAUGCAUUUUUACAUUAUGCAGAUUUGGAUGCCAAUUAUAAGUGGGAGCCAUCUAGUGAAGAGUGGAGGAUGUAUGCUAAAAUAAGGGAUAUUUUAGCAGUGUUGAGCAUGGUGACCACUGUGUUUUCUGGAUCAACCUAUCCUACAGCUAAUGAGUUCUUUCUUCUCAUUGUGAAUGUUAAGAGCGUCCUCGAUGAUGCAUCUGUCUCUAAAGAUAAAUUCUUGCAUGAUAUGGCAAAUGCUAUGCUUCAGAAAUUUGAGAAGUAUUGGAAAGAGUGCAGUACUUUGCUGUCAAUAGCGUCAAUUCUGGAUCCAAGGUACAAGAUGGAUCUAAUUAAUUUCUGUUUUCCCAAGAUAUAUGUUGCUAGUGACAUUGAACACAACAUUGACUCAGUAGGUUCAACACUAAAGGAGUUGUAUGAACUUUAUGAGAGUGACCACACAGCCAACUUGGUUGCAGCAGAAAAGAAAGUGGAUAAUUAG